Molecule: long non-coding RNA, 2512 nt
Organism: Notothenia coriiceps (black rockcod)
Lineage: Eukaryota; Metazoa; Chordata; Actinopteri; Perciformes; Nototheniidae
Exons: 4
Source: RefSeq, a predicted model, not a curated record
GUAAAGACUAAAAAACAGUCAGUAUUUCUGUAGCCAACACACACACACACACGCCAGGUCACACUCCCCUGCCGCUGCAGCAGACUUCAGACUCAGUCACUCGCCUUUUUGCCUUAUGGGUGAACAAGGUCUCCGUGGUAACAGCCCUUUACCAAGACUAAGUGAAGAAAGGAAGGGGUCGUCUCCGAACUUGUGCAACAGGUUCAUCAAACAUUUACAGGAAGAACUUGUUUUCUACUGAAAGCUGCUAUUAAACACAAAACCAAACAGCACAAGGCGUAUCACGCAGAUAUCAGCAACUGGAUGUCUGUUUCAAGAUUUUUAGUGAUGUUUAAAAUGUGAUGACACAAUUAUUUCAAUUGAUGUGUAUAGGGAAAAAUUGAUAAUGUUUAUAUUAUUAUAAUUCAGAUAAAACAAAUUAGUGGUACAAGCUUCUAUCUGUUCAUUACAUUUGUUUAUAGGAUGACUUACUGUCCAGGCACUACAGAUUACAAACUAACACUGUCCCUGUUAAAAAAUAAUAAUAAAAUAAAUAAAUCUGAUGAUUUUCAAUUAGAAAUGUAUACUGUACAUCAGCACUGUUUUGGAUUGAAUCCAUCCUCAUUGGUAAGGCUUUAUUAUUAUCAUCUAGUGCCGAUGAAUGGGAGUCGGAGGCGGUGUGUUCAGUAUGGAACUCCACACUUUAUUUUCCAUUCGUUACAGAAAAGUAGGAACAUCUGCUACCUGCUACUGUCAAGCUAGAAUGAAUACAACAACACAGUACACUCUCUAACAGGUCCCUUGUGCAAAACACAAUAUAUACAACGGCGAAUUAUGUCCCAUAAUGCUCCACCACAAUCAUUGAUUAACAUUAUAUAAUAUCAUAUCAAGGAAUAAAUCAGAUAAAAUACUUCUGUAUUUCGUACUGCUUUCAUAUAUAAGUCACAUUUUGUAAUGCAUAUCAUUUUAGAUAGUCAUACUGCUCCUGUGUCUGAUACUAUUUUCCAUCCUCUUCCUCUGGAGGCAGUGAGUGUUCACCGCCGCUGGAGGGCAGCGGUCCUCCGGAACGCACGAGCCUAUGUGAAGCAGCAGAGGAAGAGACGGCGGAGCAAACUGAAGAAGAAGAAUUUAACGGUUCCCGGUUGUUGAACCGCUCCCGUCUCCACGGUGCCGCGCCAGUGCUUCCACACAGUAGUGCUGACUGUGCUGUCACCUCCCAUCAAGCGCCUGGCUCUUUCACCACCAACGCUGGCCGCUUUGUUUUACAACGUUUAGCUAUGUGUUGACAACUUCCCUCAUUACGGAUCGUUUCUGCGACCAAAGACUCAGAGCGAUGGAGGAGGGCUCUGAGGUGGUGGAGGAUAUUCUAUUUCGAGGAGUGGAGUUUUCUGUGAAGAUAGAGGUGGACAAGGGUUUGCUGAUAGUUGAAAUAUCUGACGUUAUGACGGCAGAUCAGUGGAGAGGGGACUUUGAUCCAGCAUACAUUGAAGACCUCACCCGCAAAACUGGCAACUUUAAGCAAUUCCCUAUCUUCUGCAGCAUGUUGGAAUCAGCUGUUAGAAAGGAGUGAGUGACAAUGACACGCGGCAGAUUCAAGUCACAUUUGGAAAGAUGACUCUCAUACAAGGACUGGAUUGGAGAGGUACCAGGAAGAUGUCCACAAGGCUUAUUGCAAGUUUUGCCGCAAGUCAUUUGACAUCAGCAAUAUGGGGGUCACUUCCCUCAAGAGCCAUUCAAAAAGGACAAACCCACACCAAAGUUAGCUGGCAGCUAAAUAAUGAAAGAAAUGACAGAUUUCUUGACUACAAAAACAGGAGAGGGAAGAGCGCCAACAAGCCAGGAUAUCGAAAGUGACAGUCAGGUGCGCAGUAACCUACGAAAAAAGGCUCUGGAGCUCAGGGAAACGUUUUUUUCAGCCAAGCUGUAUGUUGAAGCAGAGAUUUCCUGGGUCAUGAAGAUGGUCAGGUCACACUCUCGUUCAACUCCAACUCUGACAUUUCAAACACUUUUGCUCAGAUGCUUCCCAGACACGCGAAAUUGCCAAACAUUUACAUGUGGCGCAACAAAAUUGGGCUUUACCUUAUACGUUUUGGCUUGUAUCCUCAUUUUUAAAGAGCAGCUGAUUGAAGACGUAAGAAAAGCAAAGUGUCCAUGUAGUGUCUUUUUGACGAAUGCCUUAACAAAGUGACACAAACAGAACAAUGAUGGAUAUCAUUCUGCGCUACUGAGUGAACGCGAAGGGAAAGUAGCUGUGCAUUACCUUCACUUCAGAGUUCCUAGAACACACUCAGGCAGAGAAGCUCUUGGGAGUAUCAACAGAUCACUGUCACCUCUGGACCCCAACAAGCUCCUGCAAAUAUCGAUGGAACGGGCCCUACCAGUGCUGAAUUGGAAGUUUCUUAAGGACUAUUCCCAAGACGACAAGAAGCAAAGAGGACCCAGAUGCACAAAGCUCAUCAACCUUGGGAAGUUGGUGGUCUGCAUGUUUUGCAUGGAAGUUUCCAGACCGGAGAGAGGGGAAACGCAGAGCGUU